RNAcentral lists this ribosomal RNA (596 nucleotides) under Leptogium sp. MS-2017b. RNAcentral's name for it is "SSU rRNA". It matches the Rfam family "Bacterial small subunit ribosomal RNA", at positions 424 to 1104 of the family's 1533-position model. Lineage: Eukaryota; Fungi; Ascomycota; Lecanoromycetes; Peltigerales; Collemataceae. The record is from RNAcentral.
CGUAUAAAGUUCUAGAUAGAAUUAUGAUAAUGACAUUAUCUAUCUAUAAGUCUUGACCAACAUGCGUGCCAGCAGUCGCGGCAAGACGCUAAAGACUAGUGUUAUUCAUCUUUAAUAGGUUUAAAGGGUACCUAGACGGUAAAUCAAGCCUUAACCGGGACUAAUUUAACUAGAGUUAGAUGUAAGGGUGCAUUAACGUACUAUUGAGUGUAGAGAUGAAAUUCUAUGAUACCAGAUGAUUGGCACGGGUUUAGGCGAAAGCAUCACCUUAUGUAAUAACUGACGUUGAGGGACGAAGGCUUUGUGUCGCGAACAGGAUUAGGUACCCCAGUAGUCUUAGCAGAAAAUGAUGAGUGUCAUAGGUUAAAUAUUAUUUAGUCUAUAAAUGAAAGUGUAAGCAUUCCACCUCAAGAGUAAUUUGGCAACAUUGGAAUUGAAAUCAUUAGACCGUUUCUGAAACCAGUAGUGAAGUAUGUUGUUUAAUUAGAUGAUACACAAAAAACCUUACCACAAUUUGAAUAUUUUACAAGCGUUGCACGGCUGUCUUCAGUUAAUGUCGUGAGAUUAUGGUUAGUUCCAUUAAAUUAACGUAAACC